This 253-nucleotide ribosomal RNA is filed under the name uncultured bacterium. RNAcentral describes it as "partial 16S ribosomal RNA". It matches the Rfam family "Bacterial small subunit ribosomal RNA", at positions 524 to 776 of the family's 1533-position model. The record is from RNAcentral.
UACGAAGGGGGCUAGCGUUACUCGGAUUGACUGGGCGUAAAGGGCGCGUAGGCGGCUUGUACAGUCAGACGUGAAAUUCCUGGGCUCAACCUGGGGGCUGCGUUUGAUACGUGCGGGCUUGAGUUCGGAAGAGGGUCGUGGAAUUCCCAGUGUAGAGGUGAAAUUCGUAGAUAUUGGGAAGAACACCGGUGGCGAAGGCGGCGACCUGGUCCGAUACUGACGCUGAGGAACGAAAGCCAGGGGAGCGAACGGG